GACGAACGCUGGCGGCGUGCUUAACACAUGCAAGUCGAACGGAAAGGCCCUGCUUUUGUGGGGUGCUCGAGUGGCGAACGGGUGAGUAACACGUGAGUAACCUGCCCUUGACUUUGGGAUAACUUCAGGAAACUGGGGCUAAUACCGGAUAGGAGCUCCUGCUGCAUGGUGGGGGUUGGAAAGUUUCGGCGGUUGGGGAUGGACUCGCGGCUUAUCAGCUUGUUGGGGGGGUAGUGGCUUACCAAGGCUUUGACGGGUAGCCGGCCUGGGAGGGUGACCGGCCACGUUGGGACGGGGAUACGGCCCAGACUCCUACGGGAGGCAGCGGUGGAGAAGAUUGCACAAUGGGCGGAAGCCUGAUGCGACAACGCCGCGUGCGGGAUGACGGCCUUCGGGUUGGAAACCGCUUUCGCCUUUGACGAAGCGUGAGUGACGGUAAUGGGUAAAGAAGCACCGGCUAACUACGUG
RNAcentral lists this ribosomal RNA (468 nucleotides) under uncultured bacterium. RNAcentral describes it as "partial 16S ribosomal RNA". It matches the Rfam family "Bacterial small subunit ribosomal RNA", at positions 28 to 507 of the family's 1533-position model. The record is from RNAcentral.